AAGUCGUAACAAGGUUUCCGUAGGUGAACCUGCGGAAGGAUCAUUAACGAAUUACAUUUGACUGUUGCGCCUUUGGGCUGCACGUCAGACAAUUCCAUCCACACACCCCUUGUGCACCUUUGGGAUGGGGUAACCCGUCCUCAAUUUUCAUAACUCCGAGUAACAGUAUGUCUAUAUCAUUAAACGAAACAACUUUCAACAACGGAUCUCUUGGUUCUC
This 219-nucleotide unclassified non-coding RNA is filed under the name air metagenome. RNAcentral describes it as "partial contains small subunit ribosomal RNA, internal transcribed spacer 1, and 5.8S ribosomal RNA". The stretch from base 1 to 46 matches the Rfam family "Eukaryotic small subunit ribosomal RNA", at positions 1786 to 1831 of the family's 1831-position model. The record is from RNAcentral.